This 253-nucleotide ribosomal RNA is filed under the name bacterium. Its description in RNAcentral is "partial 16S ribosomal RNA". It matches the Rfam family "Bacterial small subunit ribosomal RNA", at positions 524 to 776 of the family's 1533-position model. The record is from RNAcentral. RNAcentral also lists the same sequence under 1 other name.
UACGUAGGGUGCGAGCGUUGUCCGGAAUUAUUGGGCGUAAAGAGCUUGUAGGCGGUUUGUCGCGUCUGCCGUGAAAACUCAGGGCUUAACUCUGGGCGUGCGGUGGGUACGGGCAGGCUAGAGUGUGGUAGGGGAGACUGGAAUUCCUGGUGUAGCGGUGAAAUGCGCAGAUAUCAGGAGGAACACCGAUGGCGAAGGCAGGUCUCUGGGCCAUAACUGACGCUGAGAAGCGAAAGCAUGGGGAGCGAACAGG